GGGGCUGUAGCUCAGUUGGGAGAGCGCAUGACUGGCAGUCAUGAGGUCAGGGGUUCGAUCCCCCUCAGCUCCACCA
This 76-nucleotide transfer RNA is filed under the name bacterium. RNAcentral's name for it is "tRNA-Ala". It matches the Rfam family "tRNA". Rfam says of the family: Transfer RNA (tRNA) molecules are approximately 80 nucleotides in length. Their secondary structure includes four short double-helical elements and three loops (D, anti-codon, and T loops). Further hydrogen bonds mediate the characteristic L-shaped molecular structure. tRNAs have two regions of fundamental functional importance: the anti-codon, which is responsible for specific mRNA codon recognition, and the 3' end, to which the tRNAs corresponding amino acid is attached (by aminoacyl-tRNA synthetases). tRNAs cope with the degeneracy of the genetic code in two manners: having more than one tRNA (with a specific anti-codon) for a particular amino acid; and 'wobble' base-pairing, i.e. permitting non-standard base-pairing at the 3rd anti-codon position. RNAcentral also lists the same sequence under 5 other names. The record is from RNAcentral.